AGUCGAGGGGCAGCAUGAACUUAGCAUGCUAAGUUUGAUGGCGACCGGCGCACGGGUGAGUAACACGUAUCCAACCUGCCGAUGACUCGGGGAUAGCCUUUCGAAAGAAAGAUUAAUACCCGAUGGCAUAGUUCUUCCGCAUGGUAGAACUAUUAAAGAAUUUCGGUCAUCGAUGGGGAUGCGUUCCAUUAGGUUGUUGGCGGGGUAACGGCCCACCAAGCCUUCGAUGGAUAGGGGUUCUGAGAGGAAGGUCCCCCACAUUGGAACUGAGACACGGUCCAAACUCCUACGGGAGGCAGCAGUGAGGAAUAUUGGUCAAUGGACGAGAGUCUGAACCAGCCAAGUAGCGUGAAGGAUGACUGCCCUAUGGGUUGUAAACUUCUUUUAUACGGGAAUAAAGUGAGGCACGCGUGCCUUUUUGUAUGUACCGUAUGAAUAAGGAUCGGCUAACUCCGUGCCAGCAGCCGCGGUAAUACGGAGGAUCCGAGCGUUAUCCGGAUUUAUUGGGUUUAAAGGGAGCGUAGGCGGACGCUUAAGUCAGUUGUGAAAGUUUGCGGCUCAACCGUAAAAUUGCAGUUGAUACUGGGUGUCUUGAGUACAGUAGAGGCAGGCGGAAUUCGUGGUGUAGCGGUGAAAUGCUU
Molecule: ribosomal RNA, 641 nt
Filed under: uncultured bacterium
Lineage: Bacteria
Description: bacterial SSU rRNA
Rfam family: Bacterial small subunit ribosomal RNA
Source: RNAcentral